UGUUCUGAUUACAAUGAAUGCAUUUUUAUUAUCAUUAAGUAUUAAUUUUAGAAAUAGCUCAUGGAAAAAGCUUAAGUAUUAUAAAUAGUUGUUUCAGUGUGAUGAAUACAAAUUACUUUAGAAUUUGGUAUUUUAACUAUCUUGUUUGAUUUAAUGGCAGUACUGUAAUGUUAUUUUCCUUUACACAUUCUGACCUCUCCAUAUAUUGUAUAGUUUAACUAAUACAGUGGACCCAUGUUUUUGUGUUCUCACCUAUUUGUGUUUCUCUAUGGAUCAUAUCUACCAGUUAUUCGUGGAAAGCUUGCCUAUUCACGGUAAUUUUCACUGAGAAAUAUUCACUAAUUACUAUUUUCAUACCAAUUUUAUGACUGCAUUUUUUGUGAUAAAACUAUUAAAAUAUUCAGGGUUAAGCAUUCUUAGAAGGUUUUUCUUGUGUUUGAAGUAACAAAAUAUGCAGUUCUAAGCAUUUUCAAGACUGGUUUUAAGUAUUCGGAGAUUUUAGCUAUUCAUGGGGGUGUCUGGUACUCUCGUCCCCUGCGAAUAAGGGGGCCAUCCAUUGUAGUAUGUAUAAGCAUUGUUUAUAAUUUGGAAAAAAAUGGUUACCUAGUUGCAAACAUUUAGUAGAAGAGUAGGCCCACAUGUUUUAUAAUUUGGAAAAAAGGGUUACCUAAUUGCAAACAUUUAGUAGAAAAGUAGGCCCACAGUUCUCAAGGUUUCAGUUUCAUUGGAUUGUACAUAUUAUUGUUGUUGCCAUAUCUGCUUUUGACAUAUUUUUAAAAUAAGGAAACAUUUACCACUGUUACAGAAAUGUUAGAUGUGCAUCAAAGAACAGACUUUGAGCUGUAAGAUGAUAUGAUGCAUUUGUGAGACCUGGCUUUUUUCUACUUUGAAAUUUGCAACAUGUCAUAAGGGGUUCUGGAACAUAUCCCCAUACAGAUCUCUUCUAACCAACUUUCUUCUUUUUCAUAUAUCCAAAUCAUCAUAACCUUUGAGGCCUGUCUGUUUUUAGCCACUGAACACAUCUCUCUCCAACUUCUGCAAACAUAAUAUGAUGCAUUUAUUAUUACUGAAAACUGUCAAAAGUAGUAGUUCUCCAUGUAGCUGGGAAGGUUGCUCUUUCUAUGAAGCUUUUAACACACUACCAGGUUCAAAGUCCAGGUUAAUAAUUUAUAAUGUUUUGUACUGUUUUGCUUCUUCAUAUAUAGAUUUACCUAAUAAACUUAGUACAUCAAGUUUCCUCUGUAAGGGAUUAGAUGUCCGAACAAUCUCUGUCAUUUAGAUCAUUUUUUUUUUUUUUUUUUUUUGCAGCCUCUUGUUACCAUGUCUUUAUACCAGUAAUGUAUUUUCAAUGCAAUCAGGUAGUAUGCAGAGUAGGGAGACAGGGACAUUCAGUGUUGCGGGGAUGUCCAGCGAGGUCAUGGCAGUACACUUUUAAGUUAGGAAGGAACAUGAGGAACAGAGAGAGGGAGAGAGAGAGAGCGUGCGAGCUAUUUAACAAUGCAAUUUAUAUUAAGUAUACAUUUUUUUGGGAAUCUUUUCUUUUAUUGUAAAUGGAACUAAUUUUAUAGAAUGUACAGAAUUAUAUAAAUUCAUUAGAAA
Molecule: long non-coding RNA, 1599 nt
Organism: Macrobrachium nipponense
Lineage: Eukaryota; Metazoa; Arthropoda; Malacostraca; Decapoda; Palaemonidae
Exons: 2
Source: RefSeq, a predicted model, not a curated record